RNAcentral lists this long non-coding RNA (571 nucleotides) under Mytilus galloprovincialis (Mediterranean mussel). The record is from RNAcentral. Lineage: Eukaryota; Metazoa; Mollusca; Bivalvia; Mytilida; Mytilidae.
AUUUAUAUUUCCCAUAAUCUCUUUUGAGAUUUUCAGUCUUUAAUAAUUAAAACUAACUCUAAAAAUGUAUUAAAAAAUACAGUAAUUAUAGAUAAUUUAAGAUGAAAAAUAUGUUGGUUAAGAUCGAUGAAUUUGUUUAGAAUUUGAACUAAUGGUUUUUGUUGAGCCUGCGACUUUUGACGCAGAAAGCUUGACAUAGGGAUAGUGAUCUGGCGGCAGCGUUAGCUUACUUCUUAAAAGCUUUAUAUUUAAGAAGGUUAAAGACCUGGAAGCUUCAUACUUUGUAUAUAGAUGCCUCAUGUCACGAGUUUCCAUCAAUCACCUGUCCAAUGUCCUUGACCUGACUUUCAUGGUUCAGUGACUACUUGAAAAAAAAAGUUAAGAUUUUUUGUGAUGUUAAACUCUCUCUUAUUAUAAGUAAUAGGAUAAUUAUAUUUGGUAUGUGCAUACCUUGCAAGGUCCUCAUGCCCUUUAGACAGUUUUCACUUGACCUUGACCUCAUUUCAUGAAUAAGUGAACAAGGCUAAUUUUUUGUGGUCAAUUCCAUAUCUCAGUUACUAUAAGCAAUAGG